GUAUGCGAGAGAAACGGCAACAACUCAGAAAUGAACCCUGCGUCUCGGCCCGGAUUGUAAUCUGUAGAAGGUGCCUCGGGCGCGACACCGGUCCAAGUUCCUUGGAACGGGGCGUCAUAGAGGGUGAGAAUCCCGUACGCGGCCGGCAGUCAAGCCCGUGCGAGGCCCUUUCCACGAGUCAAGUUGUUUGGGAAUGCAGCUCUAAAUGGGUGGUAAAUUUCAUCUAAAGCUAAAUACCGGCCAGAGACCGAUAGCGCACAAGUAGAGUGAUCGAAAGAUGAAAAGCACUUUGAAAAGAGAGUCAAACAGUACGUGAAAUUGUUGAAAGGGAAGCGCCUGCAACCAGACUCGCGCGCGGGUGUUCAAUCGUCCUUCGGGGCGGUGCGCUCUCCCGUGCCCGGGCCAGCAUCGGUUCGGGCGGCCGGAUAAAGGCCCCGGGAAUGUGAUUCUCUUCGGGGAAUGUUAUAGCUCGGGGUGCAAUGCGGCCCGCCUGGACCGAGGACCGCGCUUUUGCUAGGAUGCUGGCGUAAUGGUUGCCGGCGACCCGUCUUGAAACACGGACCAAGGAGUCGACCAACAGCGCGAGUGUUUGGGCGUCAAACCCAUACGCGCAAUGAAAGUGAAAAUGGUAUGAGCUUCGGCGCAAUAUCGACCGAUCUUGAAAUUUAUGGAUGGAUUUGAGUAUGAGCGAAGUUGGUCGGACCCGAAAGAUGGUGAGCUAUGCGCGAAUAGGGUGAAGCCAGAGGAAACUCUGGUGGAGGCUCGCAGCGGUUCUGACGUGCAAAUCGAUCGUCAAAUUUGCGUAUAGGGGCGAAAGACUAAUCGAACCAUCUAGUAGCUGGUUCCUGUCGAAGUUUCCCUCAGGAUAGCAGCAACGAAAACAGUCUCAUGAGGUAGAGCGAACGAUUAGAGGCCUUGGGGCUGGAACAGCCUUAACCUAUUCUCGAACUUCGAAUAUGUGAGAAGUCCUUGUUACUUAGUUGAACGUGGACAUUGGAUGAAUCGUGACUAUGACCCCC
RNAcentral lists this ribosomal RNA (1019 nucleotides) under Fissurina aggregatula. Its description in RNAcentral is "eukaryotic LSU rRNA". It matches the Rfam family "Eukaryotic large subunit ribosomal RNA", at positions 83 to 1134 of the family's 3401-position model. Lineage: Eukaryota; Fungi; Ascomycota; Lecanoromycetes; Ostropales; Graphidaceae. The record is from RNAcentral.